UUAAUGGCAACGAAGAGAAGAGUACCAUCGUGAUGUCUUGUACAGAGAGCCCCGGUUUGCUGAGAAGGGGUAAAGAAUAAGGAUGGGAACAUGGCCUCUGAGCUGCGCACCGAACCCCAAGUGGUUGUAGACUGCGCCGGAACCCGCACCCGUUAUCGUGCUAGAGUAUAAACGCGGCUGCGUCGUACUUGAAGAGGUUAAUGCCGCGAGGCAUUAAUAAAAUUGGGUGGUAACACGUGAGGAUAACUCUCGUCCCUUCG
This 260-nucleotide non-coding RNA is filed under the name Paenibacillus sp. RNAcentral's name for it is "T-box sequence". It matches the Rfam family "T-box leader". From Rfam's summary of the family: Uncharged tRNA acts as the effector for transcription antitermination of genes in the T-box leader family. T-boxes are found upstream of many aminoacyl-tRNA synthetase genes and some amino acid biosynthetic genes usually in Gram-positive bacteria. The anticodon of a specific tRNA base pairs to a specifier sequence within the T-box motif, and the NCCA acceptor tail of the tRNA base pairs to a conserved bulge in the T-box antiterminator hairpin. The record is from RNAcentral. Lineage: Bacteria; Bacillati; Bacillota; Bacilli; Caryophanales; Paenibacillaceae.